UGCGUAGGCGGUUUCUUAAGUCAGUGGUGAAAUUUUGUGGCUCAACCAUAAGCGUGCCAUUGAAACUGAGAGACUUGAGUGCGGACGAGGAAGGCGGAAUGUGUUAUGUAGCGGUGAAAUGCAUAGAUAUAACACAGAACACCAAUUGCGAAGGCAGCUUUCCAGACCGUAACUGACGCUGAUGCACGAAAGCGUGGGUAGCGAACAGGAUUAGAUACCCUGGUAGUCC
Molecule: ribosomal RNA, 229 nt
Filed under: uncultured bacterium
Lineage: Bacteria
Description: partial 16S ribosomal RNA
Rfam family: Bacterial small subunit ribosomal RNA
Source: RNAcentral